AUUGAACGCUGGCGGCAGGCCUAACACAUGCAAGUCGAACGAGUGGCGGACGGGUGAGUCAUGUCUGGAAAACGGCCUGAUGGCUGGGGAUAACUACUGGAAACGGUAGCUAAUACCGCAUACCAGCGGAUGUGCCCAGAUGUGAUUAGCUAGUAGGUGGGGUAACGGCUGACCUAGGCGACGAUCCCUAGCUGGUCUGAGAGGAUGACCAGGCACACUGGAACUGAGACAAGGUCCAGACUCCUACGUGAGGCAGCAGUGGGGAAUAUUGCACAAUGGGCGCAAGCCUGAUGCAGCCGUGCCGCGUGUAUGAAGAAGGCCUUCGGGUUGUAAAGUACUUUCAGCGGUGAGGCGUUACCCGCAGAAGAAGCCCCGGCUAACUACGUGCCAGCAGCCGCGGUAAUUC
RNAcentral lists this ribosomal RNA (406 nucleotides) under uncultured bacterium. Its description in RNAcentral is "partial 16S ribosomal RNA". It matches the Rfam family "Bacterial small subunit ribosomal RNA", at positions 30 to 526 of the family's 1533-position model. The record is from RNAcentral.